This is a ribosomal RNA of 59 nucleotides. It matches the Rfam family "Eukaryotic small subunit ribosomal RNA", at positions 1775 to 1831 of the family's 1831-position model.
GAAGGGUGGAGAGGUCGUAACAAGGGUUUCCGUAGGUGAACCUGCGGAAGGAUCAUUAU